RNAcentral lists this ribosomal RNA (1378 nucleotides) under Bacillus subtilis. RNAcentral describes it as "bacterial SSU rRNA". It matches the Rfam family "Bacterial small subunit ribosomal RNA", at positions 29 to 1390 of the family's 1533-position model. The record is from RNAcentral. Lineage: Bacteria; Bacillati; Bacillota; Bacilli; Caryophanales; Bacillaceae.
ACGAACGCUGGCGGCGUGCCUAAUACAUGCAAGUCGAGCGGACAGAUGGGAGCUUGCUCCCUGAUGUUAGCGGCGGACGGGUGAGUAACACGUGGGUAACCUGCCUGUAAGACUGGGAUAACUCCGGGAAACCGGGGCUAAUACCGGAUGGUUGUUUGAACCGCAUGGUUCAAACAUAAAAGGUGGCUUCGGCUACCACUUACAGAUGGACCCGCGGCGCAAUAGCUAGUUGGUGAGGUAACGGCUCACCAAGGCAACGAUGCGUAGCCGACCUGAGAGGGUGAUCGGCCACACUGGGACUGAGACACGGCCCAGACUCCUACGGGAGGCAGCAGUAGGGAAUCUUCCGCAAUGGACGAAAGUCUGACGGAGCAACGCCGCGUGAGUGAUGAAGGUUUUCGGAUCGUAAAGCUCUGUUGUUAGGGAAGAACAAGUACCGUUCGAAUAGGGCGGUACCUUGACGGUACCUAACCAGAAAGCCACGGCUAACUACGUGCCAGCAGCCGCGGUAAUACGUAGGUGGCAAGCGUUGUCCGGAAUUAUUGGGCGUAAAGGGCCCGCAGGCGGUUUCUUAAGUCUGAUGUGAAAGCCCCCGGCUCAACCGGGGAGGGUCAUUGGAAACUGGGGAACUUGAGUGCAGUAGAGGAGAGUGGAAUUCCACGUGUAGCGGUGAAAUGCGUAGAGAUGUGGAGGAACACCAGUGGCGAAGGCGACUCUCUGGUCUGUAACUGACGCUGAGGAGCGAAAGCGUGGGGAGCGAACAGGAUUAGAUACCCUGGUAGUCCACGCCGUAAACGAUGAGUGCUAAGUGUUAGGGGGUUUCCGCCCCUUAGUGCUGCAGCUAACGCAUUAAGCACUCCGCCUGGGGAGUACGGUCGCAAGACUGAAACUCAAAGGAAUUGACGGGGGCCCGCACAAGCGGUGGAGCAUGUGGUUUAAUUCGAAGCAACGCGAAGAACCUUACCAGGUCUUGACAUCCUCUGACAAUGCUAGAGAUAGGACGUCCCCUUCGGGGGCAGAGUGACAGGUGGUGCAUGGUUGUCGUCAGCUCGUGUCGUGAGAUGUUGGGUUAAGUCCCGCAACGAGCGCAACCCUUGAUCUUAGUUGCCAGCAUUCAGUUGGGCACUCUAAGGUGACUGCCGGUGACAAACCGGAGGAAGGUGGGGAUGACGUCAAAUCAUCAUGCCCCUUAUGACCUGGGCUACACACGUGCUACAAUGGACAGAACAAAGGGCAGCGAAACCGCGAGGUUAAGCCAAUCCCACAAAUCUGUUCUCAGUUCGGAUCGCAGUCUGCAACUCGACUGCGUGAAGCUGGAAUCGCUAGUAAUCGCGGAUCAGCAUGCCGCGGUGAAUACGGUCCCGGGCCUUGUACACAC